CUCUUAUUGCUUCUUUUAAUAAGUAUGGCCUGCCCAGUGAAUAACUUUAUUUUAAACGGCCGCAGAAUUUUAACUGUGCUAAGGUAGCAUAAUCAUUUGUUGCUUAAAUGGCAACUAGUAUGAAUGGCUUAACGAUUCUUUACUGUCUUUCAUUUUCAUCUUAUAAAAAUUGUCCUUAAAGUUAAAAGUCUUUAAUUCUAAUAAAAGACAAAAAGACCCUAUAGAGUUUAAUUUCAAAAUUUUUAAAAAUAAAAUUGUUGAAGUUUAGUUGGGGCAACUAGAAAAUUUUAAAAAUUUUUCCUAACCAAAUAAAUUAAUAAUAUCAUUACUAUUAAUAAACCUUAAAAAUUACCUUAGGGAUAACAGAAUAAUUUUUCUUAUAGAGUCCCUAUCGACAAGAAAAUUUAUGACCUCGAUGUUGGAUUAAGGGUACUAAAAGUAGAAAAAUGCUUAUAAGUUAGUCUGUUCGACUAUUAAAUCCUUACAU
This 487-nucleotide ribosomal RNA is filed under the name Pruvotinidae sp. 1 FB-2018. Its description in RNAcentral is "partial 16S ribosomal RNA". It matches the Rfam family "Bacterial large subunit ribosomal RNA", at positions 1831 to 2601 of the family's 2925-position model. Lineage: Eukaryota; Metazoa; Mollusca; Solenogastres; Cavibelonia; Pruvotinidae. The record is from RNAcentral. RNAcentral also lists the same sequence under 1 other name.